RNAcentral lists this transfer RNA (63 nucleotides) under Xenogryllus marmoratus. RNAcentral describes it as "tRNA-Arg". Lineage: Eukaryota; Metazoa; Arthropoda; Insecta; Orthoptera; Gryllidae. The record is from RNAcentral.
AAAUAAGAAGCAUUUCAUGCAUUCAAUUUCGACUUGAAAGAAGGUUAAUACAAUCCUUAUUUA